This is an RNA transcript of Aphis gossypii (cotton aphid), 5201 nucleotides long. RefSeq lists it as uncharacterized. The transcript is spliced from 25 exons. NCBI's taxonomy places the organism in Eukaryota, Metazoa, Arthropoda, Insecta, Hemiptera, Aphididae. The record is from RefSeq and is a predicted model, not a curated record.
UCUUAGGCAUUUUAUGAAAAGUCUGGUGCCACCGAAGCAGUGGAUGAUGGUAACAACAAUAAAUUAAUUGUUGCUAUAACAUCUGAUCGUGGUCUUUGUGGCGCAGUCCACACAAACGUUGCAAAAACCAUUCGUAACGAAUCGGGUGCAGAAGCUGUUGAGUCUCCUCAAUCAAAAGUAUUCUGUGUGGGUGACAAGUCUCGUGCACUUUUGCAUGCAGAGUUUCAGACGCCCCUUCACCACAUCGCAAAAUGUUCCGAAUUAAAAAUAGAGUUUUUGGAGUAUGCAGGUGCUCCGGGAACUCUAUAUAUUCUUCCUGUUGAAAUCAAUAAUGCCAGCGAAAAUCCCACUUUCCAAAAGUGUUUAGAACAUUUUAAAUUAUCGCCAAGCUUAAUAGAGAACGGGAAAUGGGCGUCUGUUAGAAAAGGAGAAGUUGCGAAAACAAAUAAUUGUUUUGUAAUUUGGGCCCUUUCUACAAACGAUAUAAAUCUCUUUUAGAUUUUGGAAACCCAAAUUAACGAAACAAGGAACAUGUUCCCUAAUUCAUUAAUUUGGGCAUUUCCAAAAUCAGAAAUGUCGAAAUAUGUAUCAUUUGUGUCGUUAGUACGAUCACUGUUAGCUGAUAAUGUACCACAGCGAUAUAAACUACUAGUAUGCGACACCCUCAUAUUUUAUAAACUGUCGAAGAUCGAUGGCAACCACCGCGUCGGCAGUAGGGAAAUGGCCUAGAGGCAGGGCACAUCACCGGCCCUCGCCCAUAUUACAGAACACGCCUGGCAGUGGCCAAGUCGGGCUUAUAAGUGGUCGUGGCGGUGUAAUGCGUGGUCGCACUGGUCGCAGUGAAAUUUAUGGACGUGAUGGACGUGGAGGGCACACAUCCACACCGUCCACGACCAUUUUCAUAGAGGUGUUUAAAUCUAUUGUUUCUGGGAUCGUCUCAGUUGUUCAAAUGGCUCAGGCUGCCCAACCGCAAACUACAGACACGUUCGAUAAUGGGGCUCAAAAUGUUUUUUGGGGUCGUGGACGAGGACGUGGACGGGGACGGCCACCAGUUAUGUGCCACAAUUGCAGGGCAUUUGGCCAUACGAGAAAGUACUGCCCUAACAAUUUUGUAGUUUCAAAUUAACAAGAAAAUAACGAAUUUCUCCUAACCUUCUGGUAGUCAUUAGCGGCAUUGGCCGGCAGCAGGGAUAACCGAAAAGCAUUUUAUGAAAAGUCUGGUGCCACCGAAGCAGUGGAUGAUGGUAACAACAAUAAAUUAAUUGUUGCUAUAACAUCUGAUCGUGGUCUUUGUGGCGCAGUCCACACAAACGUUGCAAAAACCAUUCGUAACGAAUCGGGUGCAGAAGCUGUUGAGUCUCCUCAAUCAAAAGUAUUCUGUGUGGGUGACAAGUCUCGUGCACUUUUGCAUGCAGAGUUUCAGACGCCCCUUCACCACAUCGCAAAAUGUUCCGAAUUAAAAAUAGAGUUUUUGGAGUAUGCAGGUGCUCCGGGAACUCUAUAUAUUCUUCCUGUAGAAAUCAAUAAUGCAAGCGAAAAUCCCACUUUCCAAAAGUGUUUAGAACAUUUUAAAUUAUCGCCAAGCUUAAUAGAGAACGGGAAAUGGGCGUCUGUUAGAAAAGGAGAAGUUGCGAAAACAAAUAAUUGUUUUGUAAUUUGGGCCCUUUCUACAAACGAUAUAAAUCUCUUUUAGAUUUUGGAAACCCAAAUUAACGAAACAAGGAACAUGUUCCCUAAUUCAUUAAUUUGGGCAUUUCCAAAAUCAGAAAUGUCGAAAUAUGUAUCAUUUGUGUCGUUAGUACGAUCACUGUUAGCUGAUAAUGUACCACAGCGAUAUAAACUACUAGUAUGCGACACCCUCAUAUUUUAUAAACUGUCGAAGAUCGAUGGCAACCACCGCGUCGGCAGUAGGGAAAUGGCCUAGAGGCAGGGCACAUCACCGGCCCUCGCCCAUAUUACAGAACACGCCUGGCAGUGGCCAAGUCGGGCUUAUAAGUGGUCGUGGGGGUGUAAUGCGUGGUCGCACUGGUCGCAGUGAAAUUUAUGGACGUGAUGGACGUGGAGGGCACACAUCCACACCGUCCACGACCAUUUUCAUAGAGGUGUUUAAAUCUAUUGUUUCUGGGAUCGUCUCAGUUGUUCAAAUGGCUCAGGCUGCCCAACCGCAAACUACAGACACGUUCGAUAAUGGGGCUCAAAAUGUUUUUUGGGGUCGUGGACGAGGACGUGGACGGGGACGGCCACCAGUUAUGUGCCACAAUUGCAGGGCAUUUGGCCAUACGAGAAAGUACUGCCCUAACAAUUUUGUAGUUUCAAAUUAACAAGAAAAUAACGAAUUUCUCCUAACCUUCUGGUAGUCAUUAGCGGCAUUGGCCGGCAGCAGGGAUAACCGAAAAGCAUUUUAUGAAAAGUCUGGUGCCACCGAAGCAGUGGAUGAUGGUAACAACAAUAAAUUAAUUGUUGCUAUAACAUCUGAUCGUGGUCUUUGUGGCGCAGUCCACACAAACGUUGCAAAAACCAUUCGUAACGAAUCGGGUGCAGAAGCUGUUGAGUCUCCUCAAUCAAAAGUAUUCUGUGUGGGUGACAAGUCUCGUGCACUUUUGCAUGCAGAGUUUCAGACGCCCCUUCACCACAUCGCAAAAUGUUCCGAAUUAAAAAUAGAGUUUUUGGAGUAUGCAGGUGCUCCGGGAACUCUAUAUAUUCUUCCUGUAGAAAUCAAUAAUGCCAGCGAAAAUCCCACUUUCCAAAAGUGUUUAGAACAUUUUAAAUUAUCGCCAAGCUUAAUAGAGAACGGGAAAUGGGCGUCUGUUAGAAAAGGAGAAGUUGCGAAAACAAAUAAUUGUUUUGUAAUUUGGGCCCUUUCUACAAACGAUAUAAAUCUCUUUUAGAUUUUGGAAACCCAAAUUAACGAAACAAGGAACAUGUUCCCUAAUUCAUUAAUUUGGGCAUUUCCAAAAUCAGAAAUGUCGAAAUAUGUAUCAUUUGUGUCGUUAGUACGAUCACUGUUAGCUGAUAAUGUACCACAGCGAUAUAAACUACUAGUAUGCGACACCCUCAUAUUUUAUAAACUGUCGAAGAUCGAUGGCAACCACCGCGUCGGCAGUAGGGAAAUGGCCUAGAGGCAGGGCACAUCACCGGCCCUCGCCCAUAUUACAGAACACGCCUGGCAGUGGCCAAGUCGGGCUUAUAAGUGGUCGUGGCGGUGUAAUGCGUGGUCGCACUGGUCGCAGUGAAAUUUAUGGACGUGAUGGACGUGGAGGGCACACAUCCACACCGUCCACGACCAUUUUCAUAGAGGUGUUUAAAUCUAUUGUUUCUGGGAUCGUCUCAGUUGUUCAAAUGGCUCAGGCUGCCCAACCGCAAACUACAGACACGUUCGAUAAUGGGGCUCAAAAUGUUUUUUGGGGUCGUGGACGAGGACGUGGACGGGGACGGCCACCAGUUAUGUGCCACAAUUGCAGGGCAUUUGGCCAUACGAGAAAGUACUGCCCUAACAAUUUUGUAGUUUCAAAUUAACAAGAAAAUAACGAAUUUCUCCUAACCUUCUGGUAGUCAUUAGCGGCAUUGGCCGGCAGCAGGGAUAACCGAAAAGCAUUUUAUGAAAAGUCUGGUGCCACCGAAGCAGUGGAUGAUGGUAACAACAAUAAAUUAAUUGUUGCUAUAACAUCUGAUCGUGGUCUUUGUGGCGCAGUCCACACAAACGUUGCAAAAACCAUUCGUAACGAAUCGGGUGCAGAAGCUGUUGAGUCUCCUCAAUCAAAAGUAUUCUGUGUGGGUGACAAGUCUCGUGCACUUUUGCAUGCAGAGUUUCAGACGCCCCUUCACCACAUCGCAAAAUGUUCCGAAUUAAAAAUAGAGUUUUUGGAGUAUGCAGGUGCUCCGGGAACUCUAUAUAUUCUUCCUGUAGAAAUCAAUAAUGCCAGCGAAAAUCCCACUUUCCAAAAGUGUUUAGAACAUUUUAAAUUAUCGCCAAGCUUAAUAGAGAACGGGAAAUGGGCGUCUGUUAGAAAAGGAGAAGUUGCGAAAACAAAUAAUUGUUUUGUAAUUUGGGCCCUUUCUACAAACGAUAUAAAUCUCUUUUAGAUUUUGGAAACCCAAAUUAACGAAACAAGGAACAUGUUCCCUAAUUCAUUAAUUUGGGCAUUUCCAAAAUCAGAAAUGUCGAAAUAUGUAUCAUUUGUGUCGUUAGUACGAUCACUGUUAGCUGAUAAUGUACCACAGCGAUAUAAACUACUAGUAUGCGACACCCUCAUAUUUUAUAAACUGUCGAAGAUCGAUGGCAACCACCGCGUCGGCAGUAGGGAAAUGGCCUAGAGGCAGGGCACAUCACCGGCCCUCGCCCAUAUUACAGAACACGCCUGGCAGUGGCCAAGUCGGGCUUAUAAGUGGUCGUGGCGGUGUAAUGCGUGGUCGCACUGGUCGCAGUGAAAUUUAUGGACGUGAUGGACGUGGAGGGCACACAUCCACACCGUCCACGACCAUUUUCAUAGAGGUGUUUAAAUCUAUUGUUUCUGGGAUCGUCUCAGUUGUUCAAAUGGCUCAGGCUGCCCAACCGCAAACUACAGACACGUUCGAUAAUGGGGCUCAAAAUGUUUUUUGGGGUCGUGGACGAGGACGUGGACGGGGACGGCCACCAGUUAUGUGCCACAAUUGCAGGGCAUUUGGCCAUACGAGAAAGUACUGCCCUAACAAUUUUGUAGUUUCAAAUUAACAAGAAAAUAACGAAUUUCUCCUAACCUUCUGGUAGUCAUUAUCGGCAUUGGCCGGCAGCAGGGAUAACCGAAAAGCAUUUUAUGAAAAGUCUGGUGCCACCGAAGCAGUGGAUGAUGGUAACAACAAUAAAUUAAUUGUUGCUAUAACAUCUGAUCGUGGUCUUUGUGGCGCAGUCCACACAAACGUUGCAAAAACCAUUCGUAACGAAUGGGGUGCAGAAGCUGUUGAGUCUCCUCAAUCAAAAGUAUUCUGUGUGGGUGACAAGUCUCGUGCACUUUUGCAUGCAGAGGUAUUACGAUAGAAUCAAAUAAUUAAAAUUUAAUAUUAAUCUGCUUUAUUUGUGUAUUACUAUUUGUACACAUUAUUGAUUUUAGUCAUACAAUUAUUUCUCACUUGACUUAAUGUAGAAUUACAUUUAUAAAUCAUAAGUCAUAUGAUUUUUAGCAUUUGGUAUAAAAAUAAAUUAUGUUGAUAGAGCUGACGAAAAU